UCCUUUUCCACUUGGUCCUUCCAACGGAGUGGAGGUCUUCCUCGCUGAAAUUUCAAAAAAGAGAACAGUGACGAAGAUGACAAAGGUUUGGAAAACAAUUCCAUUGUACCAUGAUGAGACAUAUUUCACGCAUUUUCGCAUGACUCGUGAAACAUUUGCAGACUUGAAAAAUGCGUUAGAACCAUUUUGGUCAACACCACACGGUGAAUAUUCCGUGGAACAUUCCUUGCAUAUGACUCUUUGGAAGCUAAAUAAUAGAAGAGUCACAUAUCGUGAGCUUGCCGAUAGAUUUAAUGUUGGGCAAGGAACUGCCCACAAACUUUUCCUCAAAACAAUCAAGACAAUCUACAAACUUAAAAACGAAAUAUGUUGAUGCUUAGAUGGAACGCAUUUCAAAAUUAACACUCCUCAAACAGAUGCAAUUAGUUAUUAUGACCGUAAAGGAAAUUUUUCAGUUAUUAUGCAGAUGUGUUCAUCGGCUAUCCAGGUAGCUGUCAUGAUGCCAAUGUAUGGAAAAAUAGUCCACUUUACAAAGGGAUCACAUCUGGACAAAUAAAACUUCCGAAAGAUGCAAUUAUUCUAGCCGAUUCAGCAUAUCCUGUUUCAAAUACUUAAUUGCUCCUUUCAGAGUUAACGGACAUCUUUCCAGAGAGGAAAAACAAUUCAACUAUUAUAUGAGCUCAACCCGAAUAUUUAUCGAGCAAACAUUUGGAAUUUUCAGGGCUAAGUUCAAAAUAUUGAAUCAUAUUGAUAUGCGCAAUAUAGAAGACAUAUCAACUGUGAUAUUAGCUUGCGCAAUUUUACAUAAUUUUAUACUGCGAAGCAAUCCGGUUCAUUCUGAAGACAAUCAUACGAGUAUGCCUGAAAAUUUAGAAAAUUCAAAUGAUCAAGAUAUGAUUGAACUACCUGAAAAUAUAAAUGACAAUAAUGAAGGAAUUAUCAUACGAAAUAACUUGAAAUUGCUAUUUAUUUCAUAGAAGUAUUAUUUCAAUAAUGUAUAUACAUAUGUACAUAUCAAAUAAAUGAUUAAUUGAUUAAAAUCU
Molecule: long non-coding RNA, 1043 nt
Organism: Bactrocera tryoni
Lineage: Eukaryota; Metazoa; Arthropoda; Insecta; Diptera; Tephritidae
Exons: 3
Source: RefSeq, a predicted model, not a curated record